RNAcentral lists this ribosomal RNA (675 nucleotides) under uncultured bacterium. RNAcentral describes it as "bacterial SSU rRNA". It matches the Rfam family "Bacterial small subunit ribosomal RNA", at positions 65 to 732 of the family's 1533-position model. The record is from RNAcentral.
AGCGAGAAGACGUAGCAAUACGUUUGUAAAGCGGCGAACGGGUGAGGAAUACAUGGGUAACCUACCCUCGAGUGGGGAAUAACUAGCCGAAAGGUUAGCUAAUACCGCAUACGAUUCCCGGACUGCGGUUCGGGAAGGAAAGCGAUACCGUGGGUAUCACGCUCCUGGAUGGGCUCAUGUCCUAUCAGCUUGUUGGUGAGGUAAUGGCUCGCCAAGGCUUCGACGGGUAGCUGGUCUGAGAGGACGAUCAGCCACACUGGCACUGCGACACGGGCCAGACUCCUACGGGAGGCAGCAGUAAGGAAUAUUGCGCAAUGGACGAAAGUCUGACGCAGCGACGCCGCGUGGGGGAUGAAGGUCUUCGGAUUGUAAACCCCUUUCGGCAGGGAAGAUGGAAUGGGGUAACCCAUUCGGACGGUACCUGCAGAAGCAGCCACGGCUAACUUCGUGCCAGCAGCCGCGGUAAUACGAAGGUGGCAAGCGUUGUUCGGAUUCACUGGGCGUACAGGGAGCGUAGGCGGUUGGGUAAGCCCUCCGUGAAAUCUCCGGGCCUAACCCGGAAAGUGCAGAGGGGACUGCUCGGCUAGAGGAUGGGAGAGGAGCGCGGAAUUCCCGGUGUAGCGGUGAAAUGCGUAGAGAUCGGGAGGAAGGCCGGUGGCGAAGGCGGCGCUCUGG